GGGUUUGGAAGUCUAUGUAAGUGGAUGAGAGAGUGGGUAGUUGGGAUUGGGUUAGUAAGAGAUUAUGCCUAAAAUUGGGGGAUUGUGGGAUUCUAUUUGUUUUUAAUUUUUAUUAUUUUUCUCUCUCUUCCCAAAUUCUCUCUAACGUUAGUUUCUUUAAUUUUCUGAUGUUGUCUUUUCCCUUUCUGAAAUUUUCCCCUCAUUUGUAAAUCUUUUCUUUGUUUUUCUUUGAUUCUGUUCGUGAACCUAUCGUUCAAUUGCGUUACUGGAAUUGUCGGGUUUUUCAAUCG
This 290-nucleotide long non-coding RNA is filed under the name Gossypium raimondii (Peruvian cotton). RNAcentral describes it as "long non-coding RNA (GRAI_LNC009881)". Lineage: Eukaryota; Viridiplantae; Streptophyta; Magnoliopsida; Malvales; Malvaceae. The record is from RNAcentral.